Molecule: ribosomal RNA, 1386 nt
Filed under: uncultured bacterium
Lineage: Bacteria
Description: 16S ribosomal RNA
Rfam family: Bacterial small subunit ribosomal RNA
Source: RNAcentral
GCUCAGGAUGAACGCUAGCUACAGGCUUAACACAUGCAAGUCGAGGGGCAGCAUGGAGUUUGCUUGCAAACUCUGAUGGCGACCGGCGCACGGGUGAGUAACGCGUAUCCAACCUUCCCCUUAGUAGGGCAUAGCCCGGUGAAAAUCGGAUUAAUACCCUAUGUUGUAUUUUGAGGACAUCUGACGAAUACCAAAGGUUUACCGCUAAGGGAUGGGGAUGCGUCUGAUUAGGUAGUCGGCGGGGUAACGGCCCACCGAGCCAUCGAUCAGUAGGGGUUCUGAGAGGAAGGUCCCCCACAUUGGAACUGAGACACGGUCCAAACUCCUACGGGAGGCAGCAGUGAGGAAUAUUGGUCAAUGGGCGUAGGCCUGAACCAGCCAAGUAGCGUGCAGGAAGACUGCCCUAGGGGUUGUAAACUGCUUUUAUGCGGGAAUAAAGUCAGGUACGUGUACCUGUUUGCAUGUACCGCAUGAAUAAGGACCGGCUAAUUCCGUGCCAGCAGCCGCGGUAAUACGGAAGGUCCGGGCGUUAUCCGGAUUUAUUGGGUUUAAAGGGAGCGCAGGCGGAGGAUUAAGCGUGACGUGAAAUGUCCCGGCUCAACCGUGGAACUGCGUCGCGAACUGGUUUUCUUGAGUGAGUGCGACGUCGGCGGAAUUCGUCGUGUAGCGGUGAAAUGCUUAGAUAUGACGAAGAACCCCGAUUGCGAAGGCAGCCGGCGGGGGCGCCACUGACGCUGAGGCUCGAAAGUGCGGGUAUCGAACAGGAUUAGAUACCCUGGUAGUCCGCACGGUAAACGAUGGACGCCCGUCCUGCGGCCCUUUGAGGCUGCGGGGCCAAGCGAAAGCGUUAAGCGUCCCACCUGGGGAGUACGCCGGCAACGGUGAAACUCAAAGGAAUUGACGAGGGCCCGCACAAGCGGAGGAACAUGUGGUUUAAUUCGAUGAUACGCGAGGAACCUUACCCGGGCUUGAAUCGCGGAGGAAGCCGCCGGAGACGGCGGCGCCCCUCGGGGCUUCCGCGAAGGUGCUGCAUGGUUGUCGUCAGCUCGUGCCGUGAGGUGUCGGCUCAAGUGCCAUAACGAGCGCAACCCCUCCCCCUGGUUGCCAUCGGGUAACGCCGGGCACUCCAGGGGCACUGCCUCCGCAAGGAGUGAGGAAGGUGGGGACGACGUCAAAUCAGCACGGCCCUUACGUCCGGGGCUACACACGUGUUACAAUGGCCGGCACAGAGGGCGGCGCGCCCGCAAGGUCGCGCGAAUCCCGAAAUCCGGCCCCAGUUCGGACCGGGGUCUGCAACCCGACCCCGCGAAGCUGGAUUCGCUAGUAAUCGCGCAUCAGCCAUGGCGCGGUGAAUACGUUCCCGGGCCUUGCACUCACCGCCCGUCA